UGCCAGCCGCCGCGGUAAUACAUAGGGGUCAAGCGUUGUCCGGAUUUAUUGGGCGUAAAGCGUGUGUAGGCUGCGCGGAAAGUCAAAUGUGAAAGCCCGGGGCUCAACCUCGGAACUGCAUUCGAUACCCCCGUGCUAGAGUAAUGGAGAGGUAAGUGGAAUUCCUGGUGUAGCGGUGAAAUGCGUGGAUAUCAGGAGGAACAUCAAUGGCGAAGGCAACUUACUGGACAUUUACUGACGCUCAGACACGAAGGCUAGGGUAGCGAAAGGGAUUAGAUA
This 279-nucleotide ribosomal RNA is filed under the name uncultured bacterium. RNAcentral's name for it is "partial 16S ribosomal RNA". It matches the Rfam family "Bacterial small subunit ribosomal RNA", at positions 506 to 784 of the family's 1533-position model. The record is from RNAcentral.